AUAAAUGUUAGAUAAGACUUCUCACUGUAUUAUUAUUUUAUGAACAUGCUUUUAAGAUAGAUAAAAUGCUUUUCAAUGAUGGUGCAGUCAUGGAGUAACACCCCGAUGGCUUCUUUGCUGUGUUGAUCAACCUCCUGGCAGAUUCUGCCCAGCCGCUGGUGUGCCCACUGCUCGUUUGAAAAUGCUGUGGAAGUAGAACAACUGUCACCCGAUGUUUGUGACCGUCCGGCUGCACGGACAACAGGCACACCCUUCUGCUCCAUCACUGCCGACACGUCCUGGUCAAGCACUCACCAUCUCCUGCCUACACUGUCGCCCUGUCUGUCUGUGUUGGAACUACUCCAAGGAA
This is a long non-coding RNA of Phyllostomus hastatus (greater spear-nosed bat), 349 nucleotides long. RefSeq lists it as uncharacterized. The transcript is spliced from 3 exons. Lineage: Eukaryota; Metazoa; Chordata; Mammalia; Chiroptera; Phyllostomidae. The record is from RefSeq and is a predicted model, not a curated record.